Long non-coding RNA from Hemibagrus wyckioides, 747 nucleotides. RefSeq lists it as uncharacterized. Lineage: Eukaryota; Metazoa; Chordata; Actinopteri; Siluriformes; Bagridae. The transcript is spliced from 4 exons. The record is from RefSeq and is a predicted model, not a curated record.
AAUCCAUCAGAGGCUAAAGAACCUUUAAGCUCUCCUUCAAACUUUAAGAGACCAUAGACUUCUCAUCAAACAAGAACAUUGUGGACAUUCUGACAAUGAGUUUCCUGAAAUGUCCACACAAGGCUUUCAGAACCUAACACUGGAACAUCCGGAAGACCGAACUAUAGCACAGCCUAAAACAAUCCAGCAAAAUACACAAGUCAAGGACACCCAGACUACCAGUGAUGAUCCAAUUGCUUCAGGUUCUGCAGAUGCUGGAUCACAGAGGGUAAGAGACAUAUUCCCAAUACCCACAGCAAUUAAGUGCUGAAGUAUUUCAAUCAAUAUCUAAAGCACACUUGGUGAGCCCUGGGCUAGCACAGGCAAAUGAAACAUAUGUUCAUCAUAUCAAAUCUCAAGCAAUAUAAACAGAGAAAUAACUGCUUAUAAGAAUUAACAAUCAAUAUCAUUAUUCCUGGAAUGGUUUGGCAUUUUGGGGUUCCUCUGGCAUGUGAACUUUACACUGUCAUUUACUAAGCUAGCUAAAGUCAGUCAGCUAAAAGCUGCCACCACAUGCUGUGGAGACUGUCCAGUCUGGCCCUCCCUUCUCCUCCAGAGCUCAGAGAUGACAUUGUUAAUGGCGACAGUAUAAAGCUGGGAUGGAAGCCAGUAACCCCAACAUCAGUGCUCACUUGGUGUGUUGUGGUUGUAUGUGUGUUGAGAUUCCGUUUUGUGUUUUUGCUUCUAACAGUUCUGGUUUAAUCUUUG